Molecule: ribosomal RNA, 341 nt
Filed under: uncultured Pseudomonadota bacterium
Lineage: Bacteria; Pseudomonadati; Pseudomonadota
Description: bacterial SSU rRNA
Rfam family: Bacterial small subunit ribosomal RNA
Source: RNAcentral
AACAAACGCUGGCGGCGUGCCUAACACAUGCAAGUCGUACGAGAAAGUCCGCUUCGGUGGAUGAGUAAAGUGGCGCACGGGUGAGUAACACGUGGAUAAUCUACCCUUCAGUUUGGAAUAACGUACCGAAAGGUGCGCUAAUACCGGAUAAUAUCCCGGUUUCUUCGGAGAUCGGGAUCAAAGAUGGCCUCUGCUUGCAAGCUAUCGCCGAAGGAUGAGUCCGCGUACCAUUAGCUAGUUGGCAGGGUAAUGGCCUACCAAGGCAACGAUGGUUAGCUGGUCUGAGAGGAUGAUCAGCCACACUGGAACUGAGACACGGUCCAGACUCCUACGGGAGGCAG